This 253-nucleotide ribosomal RNA is filed under the name uncultured bacterium. RNAcentral's name for it is "partial 16S ribosomal RNA". It matches the Rfam family "Bacterial small subunit ribosomal RNA", at positions 524 to 776 of the family's 1533-position model. The record is from RNAcentral.
UACGAAGGGGGCUAGCGUUGCUCGGAAUCACUGGGCGUAAAGCGCGCGUAGGCGGAUCAGGAAGUUGGGGGUGAAAUCCCGGGGCUCAACCCCGGAAUGGCCUUCAAAACUCCUGGUCUUGAGUUCGAGAGAGGUGAGUGGAAUUCCGAGUGUAGAGGUGAAAUUCGUAGAUAUUCGGAGGAACACCAGUGGCGAAGGCAGCUCACUGGCUCGACACUGACGCUGAGGUGCGAAAGCGUGGGGAGCAAACAGG